AGAGUUUGAUCCUGGCUCAGAACGAACGCUGGCGGCAGGCUUAACACAUGCAAGUCGAACGCAUCCUUCGGGGUGAGUGGCAGACGGGUGAGUAACGCGUGGGAACGUGCCCUUCAGUUCGGGAUAACCCAGGGAAACUUGGGCUAAUACCGGAUACGUGCGAGAGCAGAAAGAUUUAUCGCUGAAGGAUCGGCCCGCGUCUGAUUAGCUAGUUGGUGAGGUAAUGGCUCACCAAGGCGACGAUCAGUAGCUGGUCUGAGAGGAUGAUCAGCCACAUUGGGACUGAGACACGGCCCAAACUCCUACGGGAGGCAGCAGUGGGGAAUAUUGGACAAUGGGCGCAAGCCUGAUCCAGCCAUGCCGCGUGAGUGAUGAAGGCCUUAGGGUUGUAAAGCUCUUUCGUCCGGGACGAUAAUGACGGUACCGGAAGAAGAAGCCCCGGCUAACUUCGUGCCAGCAGCCGCGGUAAUACGAAGGGGGCUAGCGUUGUUCGGAAUCACUGGGCGUAAAGGGCGCGUAGGCGGCUUUAUAAGUCGGGGGUGAAAGCCUGUGGCUCAACCACAGAAUUGCCUUCGAUACUGUAGAGCUUGAGACCGGAAGAGGUAAGUGGAACUGCGAGUGUAGAGGUGAAAUUCGUAGAUAUUCGCAAGAACACCAGUGGCGAAGGCGGCUUACUGGUCCGGUUCUGACGCUGAGGCGCGAAAGCGUGGNNAGCAAACAGGAUUAGAUACCCNNGUAGUCC
RNAcentral lists this ribosomal RNA (742 nucleotides) under uncultured bacterium. RNAcentral's name for it is "bacterial SSU rRNA". It matches the Rfam family "Bacterial small subunit ribosomal RNA", at positions 8 to 796 of the family's 1533-position model. The record is from RNAcentral.